CCUACGGGUGGCAGCAUUGAGGAAUAUUGGUCAAUGGACGAGAGUCUGACCCAGCCAAGUAGCGUGAAGGAUGACUGCCCUAUGGGUUGUAAACUUCUUUUAUAUGGGAAUAAAAUGUUCCACGUGUGGGAUUUUGUAUGUACCAUAUGAAUAAGGCUCGGCUAACUCCGUGCCAGCAGCCGCGGUAAUACGGAGGAUCCGAGCGUUAUCCGGAUUUAUUGGGUUUACAGGGAGCGUAGGUGGAUUGUUAAGUCAGUUGUGAAAGUUUGCGGCUCAACCGUAAAAUUGCAGUUGAACAUGGCAGUCUUGAGUACAGUAGAGGUGGGCGGAAUUCGUGGUGUAGCGGUGAAAUGCUUAGAUAUCACGAAGAACUCCGAUUGCGAAGGCAGUUCACUGGACUGCAACUGACACUGAGGCUCGAAAGUGUGGGUAUCAAACAGGAUUAGAUACCCUUGUAGUC
RNAcentral lists this ribosomal RNA (460 nucleotides) under uncultured bacterium. RNAcentral describes it as "partial 16S ribosomal RNA". It matches the Rfam family "Bacterial small subunit ribosomal RNA", at positions 338 to 795 of the family's 1533-position model. The record is from RNAcentral.